GACGAACGCUGGCGGCGUGCCUAAUACAUGCAAGUUGAGCGAUGAAGAUUGGUGCUUGCACCAAUUUGAAGAGCAGCGAACGGGUGAGUAACGCGUGUGGAAUCUGCCUUUGAGCGGGGGACAACAUUUGGAAACGAAUGCUAAUACCGCAUAACAACUUUAAACAUAAGUUUUAAGUUUGAAAGAUGCAAUUGCAUCACUCAAAGAUGAUCCCGCGUUGUAUUAGCUAGUUGGUGAGGUAAAGGCUCACCAAGGCGAUGAUACAUAGCAGACCUGAGAGGGUGAUCGGCCACAUUGGGGCUGAGACACGGCACAAACUCCUACGGGAGGCAGCAGUAGGGAAUCUUGGGCAAUGGACGAAAGUCUGAGCGAGCAACGCGGCGUGAGUGAAGAAGGUUUUCGGAUCGUAGAACUCUGUUGGUAGAGAAGAACGUUGGUGAGAGUGGAAAGCUCAUCAAGUGACGGUAACUACCCAGAAAGGGACGGCUAACUACGUG
RNAcentral lists this ribosomal RNA (497 nucleotides) under uncultured bacterium. RNAcentral describes it as "partial 16S ribosomal RNA". It matches the Rfam family "Bacterial small subunit ribosomal RNA", at positions 28 to 507 of the family's 1533-position model. The record is from RNAcentral.